UGCCUUGAGUGUUUGUUUUUGCGGUCUGCUGUGUCGUCUGUGACCCUUAAAAUGGAUAUUAAAGUGUUAGAGUCGGAUUUUGAGAAGGACUUAGGGGAAUUAAAAAAUAACAUUGAAAAACUAUUGAAAGAUGCCAAACACAUUCAGUAACUGAAGAACAGCAGCUACACACAAUCAAGCCAACGGCUAAAUAGGCAACUGAAGAACCUCAGACUAUGUGCUAGGAAAUUGAAGAAAAAUACUCCAGAGGGGAAUCAGGCUGGGAUAACACUGAAGGUUGCAAUUCAUCCAACCUCGCGCAUGUUCAAGUGUGAAGUUCGCAAAAAGUCCUUCAUGAAUCUGUUAGUUUAAGGAGCCAUCGGAUUAGCCACUUCAGGAAGCCGAGGGGAAAGUCUAACAAAGAAAAUGGAUGUUUGUGCCAGCCGCCAACUGCUCAUUUACCUACAUGCACCCACAAUACCCAUACCUCGAUAAACAUACAUUUUCCUUGAGUGUUUGUUUUUGCCGUCUGCUGUGUCCUCCGUUACCCUUAAAAUAGAUAUUAAAGUGUUAGAGUCAGAUUUUGAGAAGAACUUAGAGGAAAUUGAAAAUCAGAUUGAAAGACUCAUGAAAGAUGCAAUAAAAAUUCAUCAAAAAAAGAAAAGCAGUAAACAACAAUCAAGCAAACAACUAAAUAGGCAACUGAAGUAGGUGCACGACGAAAUCAACAUCAUGAAAGAUCGGCUCUCUCGAGCCACCAUUAUUAGUGGCGAAUAUCAAUCAUUUUUACACCGUGCAUACCAAAAAUUUCUGAGUUGGCAUCGGGAGCUCGUCAAAAUUAGGAUAUCCCUCGUAGCCACACUAGAACUCUGUGAAGCCUUGGUCGCGAAGCCGAGUGACACGGAGCAUUUCUGUGUUGAUUUGCUUUUUGCCCGAACGUAACCUAAGUUGCACUAAGCAUUGUUUUCUCAUUGACGUAUUCAUGUUUUAAAAUGUAACUUUCUUUCGCUUAUAACUUUCUACUUUAACUAACUUUCUUCAUCCAUUAUUGUAUUUAGAAAAGCAUUUUAAGUACAGCUUCUUUAAUCGAUAAAAUGCAAACACCCCGGUUUACAAUCCUACAAAAAAUAUAUUUUGGUUUCUAUAUAAUAUGUAUUAACGUGCGUAUUGAAGAAAUCACCAGUAAUGAAAUUACUUUUUGCUAUGGACAUUUGUUUGUCCUAUAACUGGACUUCAGUUGACAUUUUGAGGCCGUUGUCAGCCAUUUCUUUUUUAUGUUCUCCAGACGUCUGGUAAAAUCUCAAUGGAUGACAGUGGCCUAUUGUUUUUUUGUCCAGAGAGCAAAAAAAAACGUAUUUACUCACAAUUUGUUAUUGUUGAAGGCCAUGUAGAGUUGGUGAAAUAAUCAAUGUGAAUUGGAAUUGGUUUGCAUAGAUUCUGCAAAAUAUUUGAAAACAUUUGGAGAGGAGAAAAGUAACCUGGAAUAGUCUGACAAUCUCUUUUUUAUGUAAUCGUCGUAGCCAGAAGGUGAAUUUACAGAACUCCUAGUGAAAAACGACAUUCUUUUUGUAUUUUAUUUUUUCUCGUGUCUUUGACCUACCGUCGUUUCGAUCCAUCCGUAACAACCAUGCGAUCUUUGAAUUUAAUUUGGAUGUGUCUGAGCAAAAUACGAUGUGUAUUUUCUCUUCCAACCAGUCAUUAUUAACU
This 1686-nucleotide long non-coding RNA is filed under the name Daphnia pulicaria. RNAcentral describes it as "uncharacterized LOC124321283, transcript variant X2". Lineage: Eukaryota; Metazoa; Arthropoda; Branchiopoda; Diplostraca; Daphniidae. The record is from RNAcentral.